GGUAAUCACUACGUGUGGGGAAAAGCCAAAAAGCAGGCGACUUAGAGACGCAGACAUCCAAGUUGGUGAAGAACCUAGGCAGCAGUUCAAGAAAGGCAAGUUGAAAGACGGCAGCUCUGAGUUUUUUCAAACUCGGAAGGCGGGGGAAGAGGUGGUCCGAGCUGGUACAGUGCGCAACACUGCCACCUACUGGCCAGAGAAACGGAACGACACGCAUCACAAAGGAAAAUCCAUCGUUUCCUCUGUUCGCCUGUAAAGAGCCCUGCAGAUCAUAGCUGAGGUGGCAAAGAGGAAUGCUGCUGAGGGGGAGCGAAGGCUGUGGUACAAUCGAACUGGCCCGGCCGAACGGUCUUUGGCACAAUAGCCUUCUAUGGUCCUGCCCCGGAACUAAGCCAACAGAAGCAGGAAGGCCCGCGUCCGGAAGUUCCGGCGCCCGGUAGAGGAAAAGUCAGGGCUUCGGGAUGCGUUCCAGUUGUGAGGUUCUGAGCCUGGUUCCGGCGACUGUGGCAAGGAGUGAGGUCCUUGCCAGUCUGUGUGCCCAGUUCUGAAGACGGUUUCCAUACUCGUCCAAGGCCCCAAACCCCUGUUAUCCGGCUGCUAUUCCUCGAUCCCCGGACUCUCAGACCGUCCUUUGGGCGACGCGUGUCCGAAUCCCCUGGUCAUUGUUCUGCCCACUCUAGCCUGUGAACGCUGGUCCCAAGGCACAGUUGCUAUCCUCCUCUCAGCCUUCCCUCCCCUGCUGCCUGCAGGUCUAUCAAGGCCCUAGAAGACAAACCGGCCACGCCCGGUCCUCUCCGUCCUCAGGGUUGUUCUCCCCAACACGAAUAUCCAGCUGCCCAUGGACCUGCCUUGGACCCCGGACAUCAGGAACCCCGCUCCCCUCCCUGGAGUCGCUGUCUAGCAUUCCUCUCUCUCAUCACCCCCAAAAGGCCUGUUCUCCAGCCCCCUCCCUCUACUGCGUCUACAGCCUAGGCAUUAAGCCCUUUAGGGAGCCCCCGGUUCUGUGGCCACUUAGGUCAUGUCACAUCCUACUAGGCCAGCUUAAGGGGCUAUAAAUUGUCCCGCGCAAAACAGGUCUUUGCUCCUUCCUCUCUCCUCUCCUGGUACACCCUAAUAAAGACGAAAUCCUGCAACCUCCUGACCUGUAUCUUUUCUCUAUCUGCAGUAACCUUCUAGUGCUCCAUGACCCACGCUUCUCAAGAAGUUCAAUGGUAAUACAUUAAGAAGAAGAAGAAGAAGAAGAAGAAGAAGAAGAAGAAGAAGAAGAAGAAGAAGAAGAAGAAGAAAAGAAAAAAGAGCAGUUAUCAGACAGGAACUCUCACCACUUCACAGCAACACCUGAUCUGCACCUGUAUCUCUGCUAUCCCUGUGGAAUAAGGGACCUUAUCCUACCUGAGGCCAGGCCCUUCACCUGGAUCCCAUGCCCAUCUUCUGGAGGAGGAGUAGGACUUUGCAAUGAUUCCAAUUAUCACCUAUCCAUUUAUUUUUUUCUCCAUCAUUCUGUUAUCUAUGAUACAAGAAGCAGUAAAACGUAAAGCCAUCCCUUAUCCCAUAUCUUUCUGAGACACUGCCACAUUUCGCUUGCUGUAAACAGCAAGUCUUCCCUUGUUCUGUAACCAUUUUUUUUUUUUUGCUAACUUCUCCAGUCCAGCUUCUAUCAGCCUGCCCCCCCAGAUGAAAACAGCUGUCAAGGGCACCAGUGAAUCCCUUUGAUGAUGUCCUCUCCUCAACCUACUGUACCUGUCAGAUAGCUCUGGUACACUUAACAAUUGCCUGGUUCUUGAAAAUGUCCCUCCCUCCCUUUCUUCUAAUUUGUAUUUUGGCCUCUUUGAAAAUUUACUCUUUGGGUGAUGUUCUCCCAACCCCAGUGGCCACUGUGCUCCUUGUUAGUGUUUAUUGCUAACUCCCUAUUCCACAGGGCUUUUAACAGGGCCCUUCCCAUCUACACUCUCUCUGUGGGUUGUUUCAUCCUUGGUGCCAGCACAGAGCAUGGACACGAUGGGACCUCCCACGUUCGUACCUCAUGCAUCAACCUGUCCCCUGAGAUCCACAUUUGUCUGUGUCUUUGCUGGAUGACCAGAAGGGAGCAGACACUUAACAUGUCCCAAGCACGCCUCUUCAUGUGACGUGUUCCUUUGGUCUCCACUGCAACCCAGCACCACGUCCUCUGGAUUCGAUCUUCUGAAAACAUCCUGUAUCCAUCCCGUUCUGUGCUCAUCUACUGCUACUGUUUUCGUAUCCAAAUAAUCUGCUCAUCUCUUGUCUUCACGGCAGUAACUCUGGCCUACUCCUGUUCCUUGCACACGCUUCUUCCCUCCUUAGGACAUUGGUGAUCACAGUUGUCUCUGCCUGGGAGAGUCUCUCCCUGGAUCCUUACAUGGUGGGUUCCUUCUAACCUUCUGGUUUCUGCUCCAUUAUUGCCUCCUCAGAGAGGCUCUCCCUGACCCCCUUGUGUAAAGUAGGUUGUUCCUGGCCUAGGACCUGGGUUAUUUUCUUCCUAACACUUAGCCCACUAAUUUGCUUAUUCCUUGGUUGGUUGGUUGGUUGGUAUUCUCUCACUCCCCAGAUAAGUGCUACGUGACCAGCUUGUACAAGAGCACCACACACCUAUUAAGAGAGGCUCUCAUUAAUGUUAUGGAAUGCCAAAUAAAAGGUCACCUGACA
Molecule: long non-coding RNA, 2664 nt
Organism: Neofelis nebulosa (Clouded leopard)
Lineage: Eukaryota; Metazoa; Chordata; Mammalia; Carnivora; Felidae
Exons: 2
Source: RefSeq, a predicted model, not a curated record